This 445-nucleotide ribosomal RNA is filed under the name uncultured bacterium. RNAcentral describes it as "partial 16S ribosomal RNA". It matches the Rfam family "Bacterial small subunit ribosomal RNA", at positions 354 to 796 of the family's 1533-position model. The record is from RNAcentral.
GUAGGGAAUAUUGGGCAAUGGAUGCAAGUCUGACCCAGCCAUCCCGCGUGCCGGAAGAAGGCCCUCAGGGUUGUAAACGGCUUUUGACGGUGAAGAAUCGACAGGAUGCGUCCUGUUUUGACGGUAGCCGUUGAAUAAGCACCGGCUAACUCCGUGCCAGCAGCCGCGGUAAUACGGAGGGUGCGAGCGUUGUCCGGAUUUCUUGGGUUUAAAGGGUGCGUAGGCUGGAAGGUCAGUAAGCGGUGAAAAGCUGUCGCUUAACGAUAGUCUUGCCGCAGAUACUUCCUUUCUUGGAUGAGGAGGAGGCCACUGGAACGGAUGGUGUAGCGGUGAAAUGCAUAGAUAUCAUCCAGAACACCGAUUGCGAAGGCAGGUGGCUGUACCUUAAUCGACGCUGAUGCACGAAAGCAUGGGGAGCAAACAGGAUUAGAAACCCCAGUAGUCC